RNAcentral lists this RNase P RNA (407 nucleotides) under Rhizobiaceae bacterium. RNAcentral's name for it is "RNase P RNA component class A". It matches the Rfam family "Bacterial RNase P class A". Rfam says of the family: Ribonuclease P (RNase P) is a ubiquitous endoribonuclease, found in archaea, bacteria and eukarya as well as chloroplasts and mitochondria. Its best characterised activity is the generation of mature 5'-ends of tRNAs by cleaving the 5'-leader elements of precursor-tRNAs. Cellular RNase Ps are ribonucleoproteins. Lineage: Bacteria; Pseudomonadati; Pseudomonadota; Alphaproteobacteria; Hyphomicrobiales; Rhizobiaceae. The record is from RNAcentral.
CCAGCUGGCCGGGCGGCCGCACGCGCAAGCACCGAAAGGUCGCGCGUGAGGAAAGUCCGGGCUCCAUGGAACACGGUGCCGGAUAACGUCCGGCGGGGGCGACCCCAGGGAUAGUGCCACAGAAAUUAUACCGCCUGCGCGACCUUCGGGUCACUUGGCAGGCAAGGGUGAAAGGGUGGGGUAAGAGCCCACCGUGCGGCUGGCAACAGUCCGUAGCAGGGCAAACCCCACCGGGAGCAAAACCGAAUAGGGACGGCGCGAGGGGAAACCCUUGGGGCGCGUUUCAGCCCGCCGUCCGGGUUGGUUGCGUGAGGUGCGUGGUAACGCGCAUCCAAGAAGAAUGGUCGCCACGUUCCGCCUUGAUCGGCGGGGCCAUACAAAACCCGGCUUACAGGCCAGCUGGCGCU